RNAcentral lists this ribosomal RNA (425 nucleotides) under uncultured bacterium. RNAcentral's name for it is "bacterial SSU rRNA". It matches the Rfam family "Bacterial small subunit ribosomal RNA", at positions 356 to 773 of the family's 1533-position model. The record is from RNAcentral.
CGGGAAUCUUCCGCAAUGGACGAAAGUCUGACGGAGCAACGCCGCGUGAGUGAUGAAGGUUUUCGGAUCGUAAAACUCUGUUGUUAGGGAAGAACAAGUACCGGAGUAACUGCCGGUACCUUGACGGUACCUAACCAGAAAGCCACGGCUAACUACGUGCCAGCAGCCGCGGUAAUACGUAGGUGGCAAGCGUUGUCCGGAAUUAUUGGGCGUAAAGCGCGCGCAGGCGGUUCUUUAAGUCUGAUGUGAAAGCCCACGGCUCAACCGUGGAGGGUCAUUGGAAACUGGGGAACUUGAGUGCAGAAGAGAAGAGCGGAAUUCCACGUGUAGCGGUGAAAUGCGUAGAGAUGUGGAGGAACACCAGUGGCGAAGGCGGCUCUUUGGUCUGUAACUGACGCUGAGGCGCGAAAGCGUGGGGAGCAAAC